This 253-nucleotide ribosomal RNA is filed under the name uncultured prokaryote. RNAcentral's name for it is "partial 16S ribosomal RNA". It matches the Rfam family "Bacterial small subunit ribosomal RNA", at positions 524 to 776 of the family's 1533-position model. The record is from RNAcentral.
UACGUAGGGAGCGAGCGUUGUCCGGAAUCAUUGGGCGUAAAGAGCAUGUAGGUGGAUCAAUUAGUCUGCUGUGAAAGUCGAAGGCUCAACCUUCGAAAGCCGGUGGAUACUGUUGAUCUAGAGUACGGAAGAGGCGAGUGGAAUUCCUGGUGUAGCGGUGGAAUGCGCAGAUAUCAGGAGGAACACCAAUAGCGAAGGCAGCUCGCUGGGACGUAACUGACACUGAGAUGCGAAAGCGUGGGGAGCAAACAGG